Ostreococcus tauri is the source of this 46-nucleotide non-coding RNA. Lineage: Eukaryota; Viridiplantae; Chlorophyta; Mamiellophyceae; Mamiellales; Bathycoccaceae. The record is from Rfam.
AAAAUGGUUCCACUUGGAACCACCACACACGCAGAACCAGUGCAGU